AUGCGGGCAGCUUACCUGAGUCUUGAUAACAAGGAUGCAUAUUCUUUGCUGCAGUGUGACAUUAGAUUUAUAUUUCAGCUGUUGUACACCAAACUUGGGACAGCCACCAGUUUGGCUGGCAUCUUGCCACUGAUUUUGCUGCCGUUCCUCAUCUUAGCUUCCCUGGCGCUCUUCGCCAUGAGCCACAAAGAUGACUACGAUGACCAGGACAUCAGGGUGACAUACAUCCUGCUCUGUUGCACUGCUCUGCAGGAACUCUUGCUGACACUGUCAUUCUUGUGUGCACCUUGCCGUAAGGCGUAUUCAGGCGCAUGGCACAACAUGGUUUCUCAGUACAACCUCAUGUCCUUUUGUGCUCGCAAGAAGCAGCCCACCAUUCUGAUGAAGCUUGCUAUCUUCGAUUGUCUGAGGGAUUACCUUAACAAGAAUUGGUACAUUGGGCAGGAACCUGCAGCUGAGCGGAUUACCGAGUUGGUCCGCAAGCACGUGAAAGAUGGAUGGAAGAAUUACAUACGCUGCGACGCCGCAAGAUACAGGAGAUUCAACGAUUUCAGGGGCCAGAGGGCCCUGAGGAGGCACCGUCGUCUGCUGGGGUGGAGUCUGAGGAAGACGUUCGAUGAGAGCAUUGUUCUCUGGCACAUCGCCACCGACCUCUGCUUUCACGACCCCAACAGCCCCCCUCAAGGACAAGGAGACGUUAAUCGAAGUGGUACUGCUAGGGAGAUAUUAAAUUACAUGAUGUACCUGCUUUCCACUCACCCUGAGAUGCUCAUGCCCGGCACCAGACCGGUUCUCUUCGCCGCCGCUAUCAGUAGCAUCGAGCGUAUCUUGAUGGAUACCCAGGAACCACUCCACAGUGAAGAAAAUAUCGCACGGAGUAUUGUCAGCAUGGUUGCAGAACAUCCAUCCACAUGGUAUAAUCCUAGUUUGAUUGACAACGCAUGCAGCAUUGCUAGGGCACUGAUGGAGUUGGAAGACAGUGAGAGGUGGAAGGUAAUCCAAGGGGUGUGGGUGGAAAUGCUGUGCUAUUCCGCCAGCAAAUGCAGGGGCUACCUGCACGCCAAGAGCCUGGGUGAAGGUGGUGAGUACCUCACCACUGUUUGGCUCCACUGGUCAUUAAUGGGGAUGGAGACCUUGGCCGAUAGGCUUCAAAGGCCAGAGCCUCUGCUAGAAGACGAUGAAGAAGUACAAGAACAAGAAGGGAGGGAAAUAGGAGUAGUAGAAGAAGAAGAUGAUGAUGAAGAAGAAAAUGGACGCUCAUUGUCUUCCUCCCAAUCCAUAGUCGGAGGGGAUCAAUCUGGAGCUGUUCGCCUGGUCGUAGUGAAUAUGCUAAGAAUGUGGAGAUGUUUUUUCGGAGUUUGA
RNAcentral lists this ribosomal RNA (1362 nucleotides) under Triticum aestivum (bread wheat). RNAcentral describes it as "partial small subunit ribosomal RNA". Lineage: Eukaryota; Viridiplantae; Streptophyta; Magnoliopsida; Poales; Poaceae. The record is from RNAcentral.